GAGGAGAUUGCUCAGAGGAGCCGGGCUGAGGCUGAGUCCUGGUACCAGACCAAGUACGAGGAGCUGCAGGUCACAGCAGGCAGACAUGGGGACGACCUGCGCAACACCAAGCAGGAGAUUGCUGAGAUUAACCGCAUGAUCCAGAGGCUGAGAUCUGAGAUCGACCACGUCAAGAAGCAGGUAUGGUGAGGGACAAUGGAGGAGAGAAGCAUUUCCUUGUCAGGUCA
This 227-nucleotide small RNA is filed under the name Pan troglodytes (chimpanzee). RNAcentral's name for it is "retained intron". The record is from RNAcentral. Lineage: Eukaryota; Metazoa; Chordata; Mammalia; Primates; Hominidae.